Molecule: unclassified non-coding RNA, 373 nt
Filed under: uncultured Sphingobacteriales bacterium
Lineage: Bacteria; Pseudomonadati; Bacteroidota; Sphingobacteriia; Sphingobacteriales
Description: contains 16S-23S intergenic spacer region
Source: RNAcentral
UCUCCGCUUGCGCGGGCAGUCUUUUUAGAGUCCCCACCAUUAUGUGCUGGCAACUAAAAAUAAGGGUUGCGCUCGUUGCGGGACUUAACCCAACACCUCACGGCACGAGCUGACGACAGCCAUGCAGCACCUAGUUUCGUGUCCUUGCGGAAAGAAUCCUUUCAGAUCCGGUCACUAACUUUCAAGCCCUGGUAAGGUUCCUCGCGUAUCAUCGAAUUAAACCACAUGCUCCUCCGCUUGUGCGGGCCCCCGUCAAUUCCUUUGAGUUUCACCGUUGCCGGCGUACUCCCCAGGUGGAUUACUUAUCGCUUUCGCUAAGCCACUAAAAGUUGCCCUCUAGCAGCGAGUAAUCAUCGUUUACAGUGCGGACUAC